Molecule: transfer RNA, 58 nt
Filed under: Clostridia bacterium
Lineage: Bacteria; Bacillati; Bacillota; Clostridia
Description: tRNA-Met
Rfam family: tRNA
About the family: Transfer RNA (tRNA) molecules are approximately 80 nucleotides in length. Their secondary structure includes four short double-helical elements and three loops (D, anti-codon, and T loops).
Source: RNAcentral
GGAGCAGUUGGUAGCUCGUCGGGCUCAUAACCCGAAGGUCGUUGGUUCAAGUCCUUCC